GAUGUGAGACGUGGGAUUAAUUUGAGCAGUGAAUCGUUUCAAGCAAUAAGGCAUUAUUGGUACUUUCCUGAUAUUUCCAGAGACGAAGCUAUUGAAAGAAUUAAAAACAAAGUGGUAGGAUCAUUUCUGAUACGGAAAUCGUCCAGUGAAGCAGGAGGGUUUGUUUUAGUCAUGAAUGAAAAUAAAACAGAUGACCUGUUCAACAGAGAACAUAAUACUGUUGUUAGAAAUUAUUUAAUUCAUUGGACAAACAGAGGGAUAACUUCGAUACAGGGCACAGAAACAUUUGACAACCUUGUUUCGUAUGUUUACCAUUAUGCUACGACUGAUACAACAGACUUGUCGUGUAGACUAGCCCUACCUUGAAGCAGAUUUUUAAGGUACGUGUAACAAUUAUUAUGCAUAUCAAAAUUUAAAACAUUUACCGUUCAUGCAUGUGGGUCAGUUGUCAGAUUCACAAUUCCAAAAACAAAUUCUACGAUUUUAAAUCCAAAAAUCAGCGUUAUACCAAACAAACAGUUAACACAUGUAAAAUUAUAGAUAUACAUGUACUUUUAACAACACGAGAACAUUAGACUACAUAAAAUAAAAUAGGAAUCACCAAACAACAAUAUAUCAGUACAACAGAUCAAACAAAACACCAAAUGUCAACGAAAAUCAUGUUUUACGGUUCAGAACUGAAGAGUUUAUUAUUAUUUCAAAACUAUAAUCAAUAAAAAAAAAUAGUUCGUGUCAUCUAACAUGUCUUAAGAACUCUUAUAGACGUAAGUGAAUACACUCUAAAGUUUUUAUUAUCUGUUAGACCGUAUCUCUUUUAUAAGGGAACGACCAUUUUACUUCCAGGGUUUUUCUCUGGUCAAGCAGAUGACAACAAAAUUGAAUGAAUAUAUUUUAUUGCAGAGGCAAACAUAAUGCUAUAGCAAAAUAACA
Mytilus trossulus (common blue mussel) is the source of this 930-nucleotide long non-coding RNA. RefSeq lists it as uncharacterized. The record is from RefSeq and is a predicted model, not a curated record. NCBI's taxonomy places the organism in Eukaryota, Metazoa, Mollusca, Bivalvia, Mytilida, Mytilidae. The transcript is spliced from 3 exons.